Long non-coding RNA from Micropterus dolomieu (smallmouth bass), 866 nucleotides. RefSeq lists it as uncharacterized. The record is from RefSeq and is a predicted model, not a curated record. The transcript has 5 exons. NCBI's taxonomy places the organism in Eukaryota, Metazoa, Chordata, Actinopteri, Centrarchiformes, Centrarchidae.
UUCCAGCCUUGUGUGAUUGACAGGUGAAUAUCAGCCAGACAUGCAGUGUAGGCUGGUUUUAAGCUUUACUUACUUUUUCAGGAAAGCAGACAGAGCCCUGACAAACUCCUGCUGGUCGACAUCUUUCACCGUGACACUGGGCAUCUAAAAGGCAAAUUGGAGACAGAGAUUGCGCCUCUGAGACAACCUGAACUUUUUCAUUGAAGAUGUGGUUUUUAUCAGGAAUGCCGUGGUCAACCAUAGAAGCUCCCCAGUGAGAAGAGAGCCAUGGGAAAAGCCUCAAACUUGAUCCCGGUUGUGAGGAUGUGGUCCGGUCCAUUUUGCGCAGACGUCUCAAGACGAAAUAUUUCAUGUCGGACAGCAUCGUCACUGAUAAAAAAAACGUCUGUUCACAGACGCUGAAAAUUACAACACUGCAGACCUGAAGUCAGGAGACGAGGAACACGUUGAUAGUUACAUUUAUAAAAAGACAGCAAAGUGUCAUCACUUUAAAGGUUUUUCAUUUGUACAGACGUUGAAGCUCCUCACAGCAACUCAAAAUUGUUAUUGUUAGACAGAAAUAUGUUGGUGAGAAAGGAUGUGCAUUUUGUUAUAGGGCUGCAACGAACAAUACUUUUCAUUAUAAUUUUCUCAAUCGAUUAAUCAUUUGGUCCCUAAAAUGUCAGGAAAUAGUGAAGGAUCCUUCUUGAGUCUAAAGAUGGUUCCGUCAUCGAAGUUUACUUUCAUAAGACAAAGAAAAGCAUCAAAUCAUCACAACUGAGGAAAUGUUUGGGAAAAAACCCUAAACUAAUGGAUGAAUGAUUUGCACCUUGUUCUGUUUUUUAUUAACUGGAAUUAUGCCAAUAAAAUCCAAGCAAUGGUGAAAA